RNAcentral lists this ribosomal RNA (253 nucleotides) under uncultured bacterium. Its description in RNAcentral is "partial 16S ribosomal RNA". It matches the Rfam family "Bacterial small subunit ribosomal RNA", at positions 524 to 776 of the family's 1533-position model. The record is from RNAcentral.
UACGAAGGGUGCAAACGUUGCUCGGAAUUAUUGGGCGUAAAGCGCGCGUAGGCGGCUUUGCAAGUCGAGUGUGAAAUCCCCAGGCUUAACCUGGGAACUGCAUUCGAGACUGCAUAGCUAGAGUAUGGGAGAGGGAAGUGGAAUUUCAGGUGUAGCGGUGAAAUGCGUAGAUAUCUGAAGGAACAUCAGUGGCGAAAGCGACUUCCUGGACCAAUACUGACGCUCAUGUGCGAAAGCGUGGGGAGCAAACAGG